RNAcentral lists this ribosomal RNA (553 nucleotides) under Bipolaris oryzae. RNAcentral describes it as "eukaryotic LSU rRNA". The stretch from base 194 to 347 matches the Rfam family "5.8S ribosomal RNA". Lineage: Eukaryota; Fungi; Ascomycota; Dothideomycetes; Pleosporales; Pleosporaceae. The record is from RNAcentral.
ACCUGCGGAGGGAUCAUUACACAACAAAAUAUGAAGGCCUGGCUUUCGCGGCCGGCUGAAGUAUUUUUUUCACCCAUGUCUUUUGCGCACUUGUUGUUUCCUGGGCGGGUUCGCCCGCCACCAGGACCAAACCAUAAACCUUUUUUUCUUAUGCAGUUUCCAUCAGCGUCAGUAAAAACAAUGUAAUUAUUACAACUUUCAACAACGGAUCUCUUGGUUCUGGCAUCGAUGAAGAACGCAGCGAAAUGCGAUACGUAGUGUGAAUUGCAGAAUUCAGUGAAUCAUCGAAUCUUUGAACGCACAUUGCGCCCUUUGGUAUUCCAAAGGGCAUGCCUGUUCGAGCGUCAUUUGUACCUUCAAGCUUUGCUUGGUGUUGGGCGUUUUUUUGUCUCCCUCUUUCUGGGAGACUCGCCUUAAAACGAUUGGCAGCCGGCCUACUGGUUUCGGAGCGCAGCACAUUUUUUGCGCUUUGUAUCAGGAGAAAAGGACGGUACUCCAUCAAGACUCUACAUUUUUCACUUUUGACCUCGGAUCAGGUAGGGAUACCCGCUGA